Molecule: ribosomal RNA, 291 nt
Filed under: uncultured bacterium
Lineage: Bacteria
Description: partial 16S ribosomal RNA
Source: RNAcentral
GGACUACAAGGGUUUCUAACCCUGUUUGCUCCCCACGCUUUCGUACAUGAGCGUCAGUCUCAUCCCAGGGGGCUGCCUUCGCCAUCGGUGUUCCUCCACAUCUCUACGCAUUUCACUGCUACACGUGGAAUUCCACCCCCCUCUGACAGACUCGAGCCAGGCAGUCACAAAUGCAGUUCCCAGGUUAAGCCCGGGGAUUUCACAUCUGUCUUACCAAGCCGCCUGCGUACGCUUUACGCCCAGUAAUUCCGAUUAACGCUCGCACCCUACGUAUUACCGCGGCGGCUGGCA